UUUAUUAUAUUAACCCUACAAAGUAAAAUUUUUGGAUCCGCCACUAUAGGCAUACCUUUAAAUAUUUACUCUAACACUUGAAGAAAACAACCUAGAAGCUGGAUGAAAUUGAUUGUACUGCUCUAAACAAAGAACAUUAUUUAAAACUUUGUUUUCUAAAUUUUACAUUGAUCAAAAAUUUAAGAUUCUCAUUCAUCUUAUUAUUAUAGAGCUGUUGGACAUAAC
This 225-nucleotide long non-coding RNA is filed under the name Elaeis guineensis (African oil palm). Its description in RNAcentral is "long non-coding RNA (EGUI_LNC001983)". The record is from RNAcentral. Lineage: Eukaryota; Viridiplantae; Streptophyta; Magnoliopsida; Arecales; Arecaceae.